GCCGGCAGCUAGCUCUCUGCAACUCGCACAUGGUCGCUCAUUGAAGCUGGGCCUGGUCAGUACCUGGAUGGGAGACCACAUGGGAAAGCUAGGUUGCUGCCGGAA
This is a non-coding RNA of Danio rerio (zebrafish), 105 nucleotides long. NCBI's taxonomy places the organism in Eukaryota, Metazoa, Chordata, Actinopteri, Cypriniformes, Danionidae. The record is from Rfam.